Lolium perenne is the source of this 4258-nucleotide long non-coding RNA. RefSeq lists it as uncharacterized. The record is from RefSeq and is a predicted model, not a curated record. Lineage: Eukaryota; Viridiplantae; Streptophyta; Magnoliopsida; Poales; Poaceae.
GUGGUUGUAGCUUGAUUUAGCGGUCAAAGCGGUCCUUCCGUUCCAAUGAAUCAAUCCAAAACUUCACCGCAGUGCAUCGAGGUUGGAACCCACAUGUCGAUUUGUCCCUCCUCUUCCACCUUUCCCAUCUUCUCCCUAACAACGCCUCCACCGUAGCGCCUACCGACGCGUCCACCGGCGUGACAAGCCACCUCUUCCUCCCAAGGUCGCUGGCGGCAAGGAUCUCGGCGUUUUUUUUCCUCCCGAGUAUGGCAGCGGAGGAGGACCUCGGCGCGUGUGUCCUCCUCUCCCUGAGGUGAGUCCUAUCUUUCUCUCUGUGUGUGGAACGCGGCUUCGACCAGGACUUCCAUGCAUAGCCUAGCUCUUCCUCCCAUUGGGCCUCCUCCCAUGUGCUCCACCGGCCGCCGCGGCCGCUGCCGCCCAACGAAUCGCUCGCUCGCCUCCACAGUUGACGACCUCCCCCCCCCUCUCUCUAGAUCUCGACCGCACAACUUAGGGAGGAGUCGAUGGUUGCAUGAGAGUUCUUAUUUUGUCAGAAAUAAUCUACGACUAGGUGAGGAUUAUGGGUUUGUUCUGGAAUUUUCUUUUCUGUUCCAUGUUGCUUUCAGCCAUGAGUGUAGGGAUUUUGAGGCUGCUGGUGUUUGCUGAUCCGGGCACAAAAAGAACCAGAAGAGAUAAGUACAAAUCCUUAUUUUCUUGCCAUAACCAAUACGAUGUGAUUAGUUCUCUGAUCUUUUGGUGCAUACGACCUUGUUUUUUAUACAAGGUAGAUAGAUUCUGCAAGGAGAAGGGAUGGACAUGUACAGCAUAUUGAAUCCCGUCUGUUGUUUGCUUCCUCUGGACUAGCAGUAUAUCCUACUCCUUUGGGCGAGAUGCAAUGACGGCGGCUUCAAGUUUCGGGAGCGAAGUCACGUACUGCAGAGUGGUGACUGCCCGAUUGCGAGACGCUUGAUCUCAUAACAGCGACGCCCGCAUUGGACAUGGUAGUGCCCGCCACUGGAUACCUAUUUGUGCUUAGGGUGCAGGCGUCAGCUGCAUUGGUAUGUCUGGUACCAGUGAGGCACGGCUGCCUCUGCCUGCCCUAUCACUCCAAACCUUCGGGCAAGCUACCUGACGAGUUCUACAAUGCCCAUGCACCAUGCUUUGUUGAUCCGGCGAAGAAGAUUCAAGUUUAUAGCGCCGCUGGCCAUCCAUAUGCAGAGUGAGGAGUUGACAAAUUUUCCUGUUCUGGAGUUGAUACUAUCAUACUAUGGUUGAUGAAACUAUACAUUUUGUGAAGUUAUUGGUCUCACUUCUGAAUCCUCUGAUGUGUUCAUCAAUUAUGCAUAAUGUUUGCCUCAUAAGAGUAUUUUUUUCUUUAUUCUCUGUAAUGGUGGAAAUGCAAGUGUUUUGGUGCAUAAUAAUUUCCAGGCAGUCUGUGAACUUCAGUUUAGGCGGGUAAUUAUUGCAAAUAUUACUUCUGGUUUUUGUUUCGGCUGAUACAGAAUUUAAUUCAGUUUCUGCAAUUAUACUAUUUAUCUUUAUCAAUUGGAGUUUCAUUCAGUUUUCGCUUACUAUCAUUGCUCCUGGUUUCACCCGUUACAUGCCAACACUCCUCUGGAAUGCUCUGUUUCCUACAGCGUAAUGGCCUAUCUACUCCUCAUUUUUCUUUCUAAUUUUGGUCUGUAUUUUCUCAUUUUUGUAUAACUGUAUGCUCAGGAAGACACGCCAAACUGGAGGGGUAAAUUAGUGUCCAGCAUAUGCAUAACACCAGGAGCAACAGCUAAGCUCAACAAGGGGGAGUAGUGUCACUGUAUAUAUCUGAAAUUGGCACUUACACUUUACUAGCUUAGUGAAUGGCUUAUAUUCUCGGGGUGGUGUUUUUCUUCCAUAAGCAAAAGAAGCAUGUGAAACAAAAUUUUGUAUUGUGAUAUAUUGCUGCAGGCUGCAUCAUAUGUAGUAUGUUCAUGUUUUUACGAUGGUUAGAAUUGCCACUUCACUAGCAUAUGUGAUAGGGACCUGAUUUUGUGCAACAUAUAAUGACCACUUUAUCAACAUGUGAAAGGAUUUCUUUCCAGUCCUGAUAUAACUCUUAUGAUGAUAAGGUCCAAUCACUUGGUGCAUGAUACGUAGGAUGGACUUGAGAGGUCAUCUUCAGGUGGCUUACAGUUUCUUUGUUUCCUUAUUAAUCCCUAGGGAGCUACAAGUGUUUUUGGUUGGCAACUCAAUUUCGAAUAGUUAGUUGUCAAAUGGCGAGUUCAUAGUAGUUCUGUAAGAAAAUGUGACCGAGUUUGAGAUAUUACUAAAAUAUUGUCCACCAUCUACAUGAAUUUUAUAGAAAGUGAGACUGGACUUUCUUGCAGCAUCGUUUAUAGAAAUCUAGAAGUUGCAUACAAGAGGUGUUGUGAGCUCAAAUUGAUUUUAUAGCUGAUAGGAACUAACAUUUUCCCUAUAAUGCUGGUUGCAUGAUAAAUUAUCACUAUCUAUAAAUCUUUGGAACGAACCUAAAGAUUUUGAAUGCUUUCCCUAUAUGGCAAUGUCUUGGUAUUUUUAUAAAUUAGUUGUUAUUGAGAUUUUAUAUUGUCUUGCUCUGUUCAAUAUUCUCAGAAUCAGAAACUCCUUGUGAGGUCAGAGGAAAUGACUGCAGGUUGUCACACGAAGGGUGAAUCAUAGACCUGGAAGCUUGAUGAAAAGAAGAUGAUUUUGCAUCAGUAUCUUAGAGAAGUUAGUGCAAAAUCUAAAACAAGGUUGUUUUUGAAGAAGCUGAUUUCUUAGAAACUCUCAGCGGGAGAUGACCAAAGGAUUAAACAACAUAUACAAUGACAGUGUCAGUGUUGGACCAUAGAUGGGCAAGUUGUCUGCUUCUAAAAAGUGCAAAAAAUCUGAGCUUAGCAUGGUAAGUUGUGUUUUCUGCCUUUCUAAGCCAAUGCUUAUGUCAGAUGUAUUCAUUACUAUUUUUUGUAUGUGCCUUUUUAAUUUCUACUGCUUUUUUCUUGAGGCUACAUGGCAAGUUGCCUGCUUCUAAAAGGUGCAGGAAAUCUGAGAUUAACACGCUAAGUUGGAUUAUCUGGUAAGUUGCAUUGUCUGCCUUUUCAUCAUUACUUACCUAGCUAUGGCUGGGCGCUAGGAGAAAACGGUUCUACAUUGAAAGGUCUAGCAUUAUGUUAGCAAAUUACUAUAUGGUAAUGAGAACCAAGUACUAGAACUGUACCAUUUACUUAGUAUUUAUAGUUCAGGUGUUAGUUUGUAUAGGAGGGAUUUAUUUUUGGUGCAUUGUCUGGAGAUUUUGACUGCCAAGUAGAAUUGAACUUAUAUUAGAAAACAAGGAUAUAAAUUGGACUGGAUACAAGAUGUUCAACCUGGUCCCCAUUUCGAAAAAAAAGAUGUUCAACCUGGUGUGUAGGGAAAAAUUGAAUCAGGAAUGUAUGUUCGUUAGAGGGCUGUUGUGAUGUAAUCUACUUGUUCCUGAUUCUAUGUUUCUUUACCUCGAAGCACAUUUGGUUUCAGAAUUCAGAUAUUACUUUCACUUAUUCGUAGGAUCAAGGGGACACAAGCUUCCUUUUGAGAAUACUAAAUGAAAGCAUCUAGCGCCGCACUUCCAGUCCAGUUCUUUCUCUUUCUUCAGCUUUUCUUAGCAGUUUGUAUGGUAGUACAUGCUACAUUAAUUUUAUUGUUAACCUAGGCAGGAAACAGACUCACGACCUUAGUGCAAUUCCCAUGAGAGCGACGGUGACACUAUCUCUGAAUUGCUUUGGAGCUCGAGUCCCAAACAAGAUCAAAAUCUUAUGAUGGUUUCUCCACCUCGACAAGUUAAACACCAGGGCUACUCUACACCACAAGAGCAUUAUCGACUCACCACACUGCCCUAGAUGCGCCAACGUUAUCGAGGAUCGCAAUCACCUCAUCUUCACAUGCCCUGCCGCAACCGCAAUAGAGAUUUGGCACAGGCCUGGACUAACUCCACAGCUGCAAGUGUUCAAUUACAUAUAUAUGGAGCCACCCUCCCAGCUCUACCCCGCCCUCAUCGGUAAGAACUUCGGUCGCUCUCACAAUCGUAUGGAAUAUUUGGUACUCACGCAACACUUCGAUCUUUAGAAAUGAGACAGAUUCAGCUGCAUUGUACUAGCCAAUGUAAUCUCCGAUUUAUUUCUUUGGAUGGGCCGAUUUAAGGAUCAAUCGAACUGAAAAAGAGGCUGCCCUUUGCUGGCAUGACAAACUCUCCUCAUGUAUCUCUGAAACUUGAUUACUUGAAAUGAAUGAAAUUCAGGUAGGAAUCCUC